UUAUAGCGCACACCGCAACCCGACUUGAGCGGAGCUCUUUUUGCGGAGCGGAGCGGAGCAAAAAAGCGGGAGCGGAAGGCCGAAAUGUUG
This 90-nucleotide unclassified non-coding RNA is filed under the name Kaistella treverensis. RNAcentral describes it as "Chryseobacterium treverense Flavo-1 RNA". Lineage: Bacteria; Pseudomonadati; Bacteroidota; Flavobacteriia; Flavobacteriales; Weeksellaceae. The record is from RNAcentral.